AGGGUGUAGGUGUUACGGUAGCAUAUCGCUCUCCAAAAGCGACGGCCAGGGUUCGACCCCCUGACACCCUGC
Molecule: transfer RNA, 72 nt
Filed under: Microbacterium phage A3Wally
Lineage: Duplodnaviria; Heunggongvirae; Uroviricota; Caudoviricetes
Also listed under: 1 other name
Description: tRNA-Pro
Rfam family: tRNA
About the family: Transfer RNA (tRNA) molecules are approximately 80 nucleotides in length.
Source: RNAcentral